Molecule: ribosomal RNA, 459 nt
Filed under: uncultured bacterium
Lineage: Bacteria
Description: partial 16S ribosomal RNA
Rfam family: Bacterial small subunit ribosomal RNA
Source: RNAcentral
CCUACGGGUGGCAGCAGUGAGGAAUAUUGGUCAAUGGGAGAGAUCCUGAACCAGCCAAGCCGCGUGAGGGAAGACGGCCCUAUGGGUUGUAAACCUCUUUUGUCGGAGAACAAAACCCGGGACGUGUCCCGGACUGCGCGUAUCCGAAGAUAAAGCAUCGGCCAAUUCCGUGCCAGCAGCCGCGGUAAUACGGAGUAUGCGAGCGUUAUCGGGAUUUAUUGGGUUUAAGGGGUGCGUAGGCGGUCCGUUAAGUCAGCGGGAAAAUUGCGGGGCUCAACCCCGUCGCGCCGUUGAAACUGGCAGACUUGAGUGGGCGAGAAGUACGCGGAAUGCGCGGUGUAGCGGUGAAAUGCAUAGAUAUCGCGCAGAACUCCGAUUGCGAAGGCAGCGUACCGGCGCCAGACUGACGCUGAGGCACGAAAGCGUGGGGAUCGAACAGGAUUAGAUACCCGAGUAGUC